Molecule: ribosomal RNA, 253 nt
Filed under: uncultured bacterium
Lineage: Bacteria
Description: partial 16S ribosomal RNA
Rfam family: Bacterial small subunit ribosomal RNA
Source: RNAcentral
CACGGGGGGAGCGAACGUUGUUCGGAAUCACUGGGCGUAAAGGGCGUGUAGGCGGUCCGGUAAGUGAGAUGUGAAAUCCCCCGGCUUACCCGGGGAACUGCAUCUCAUACUGCUGGACUUGAGUGCGGGAGAGGAUGGGGGAAUUCCUGGUGUAGCGGUGAAAUGCGUAGAUAUCAGGAGGAACACCGGUGGCGAAGGCGCCCAUCUGGCCCGUUACUGACGCUGAGGCGCGAAAGCUAGGGGAGCAAACGGG